AGUGAACGCUGGCGGUAGGCCUAACACAUGCAAGUCGAACGGCAGCACAGGAGAGCUUGCUCUCUGGGUGGCGAGUGGCGGACGGGUGAGGAAUACAUCGGAAUCUACUUUUUCGUGGGGGAUAACGUAGGGAAACUUACGCUAAUACCGCAUACGACCUACGGGUGAAAGCAGGGGAUCUUCGGACCUUGCGCGAUUGAAUGAGCCGAUGUCGGAUUAGCUAGUUGGCGGGGUAAAGGCCCACCAAGGCGACGAUCCGUGGCUGGUCUAAGAGGAUGAACAACCACACUGGAACUGAGACACGGGCGAGACUCCUACGGGAGGCAACAGAGGGGAAUAGUGGACAAUGGGCGCUAGCCUGAUCCAGCCAUACCGCGUGGGUGAAGAAGGCCUUCGGGUUGCAAAGCCCUAUUGUUGGGAAAGAAAUCCAGCUGGUUAAUACCCGGUUGGGAUGACGGUACCCAAAGAAUAAGCACCGGCUAACUUCGUGCCAGCCGCCGCAGGAA
RNAcentral lists this ribosomal RNA (506 nucleotides) under uncultured bacterium. RNAcentral's name for it is "partial 16S ribosomal RNA". It matches the Rfam family "Bacterial small subunit ribosomal RNA", at positions 29 to 523 of the family's 1533-position model. The record is from RNAcentral.